This 4677-nucleotide long non-coding RNA is filed under the name Homo sapiens (human). RNAcentral's name for it is "HSALNT0288679". The record is from RNAcentral. Lineage: Eukaryota; Metazoa; Chordata; Mammalia; Primates; Hominidae.
GUCGCAUUUUAAUGACUGGGCAGCUUUGAUAAUUUUAAUACUGUAAAGUCCCAUUUCAGCUGCCAACAAGGAAAGUCUUGUUCUCCUGCUUCUUUCGGAGGGCUGGAUGAUUACUUUAUUAUGAGAAGCAGGCAGCUGUGUUUGGCUUUUUCCUGGUAAUCUAGUCUCUCUUUCAUUUCAUCUGCACAGGUUUCUCAUUGUGAAGGGGCUCUUUCAUUGAGAUAUUGCAGGAUGGGACUGUUUCUUGCUACAGAUUAUGUAGCUGCCACAGAUUUCAGAGAGCAAAAGAGACGUUGGGUAAGCUGGCUGUGCUCCAGGUUGGGUGUCGUUCUCUCGUUAUGGGAGUUGAAGUUGUUUGCACUUUGCAGGAAGCUUUACGGUCCUCUGACAGGAAUCUUUGUACAUUGCUUAGACUCAAAUACAAGGUGUCUUGUUCUCUCAGGCGAGCUUUGAUUUUUCUUUGCCUUCAUGAGGAAUCCACUGUGCCCCCCAACAGCACUACUGGACAUCCCCAUCACAACAGGCGGCCUCUGAGACACUGUCUCAACCUCAACUGCACCUGUGAGAGGCUAAUCCGAGGUGUGAGAAAACUGCUUCACCGUGGACUUGCCUUUGUCAUGGUUUCUGCCUUUCCCAGAUAGCCCUGCAAGUCCCAGGAUGAAGGGAGAAAGUGAGGUCAUGAGCCUGGCCGUCUUUCACUGACACCCACCUCUAGGAUCUCAGGAAAUCCUCAGUGCCCCUCAACAGCACUACUGGACAUCCCUAUCACCACAGAUGGCCUCUGAGACAUUGUCUCAACCUCAUCUGCACCUGUGAGAGGCCAGUCCGAGGGGUGAGAACACUGAUCCACUUUGGACUUGCCUUUGUCCUGGUUCCUGCCUUUCCCAGAGAGCCCCUGUGAGGCCCAGGAUGAAGGGAGGCAGUGAAGUCAACAGCCUGGCCAUAUUUCGACACUACAACUGCCUCUGGGGUCUCAAGUAUGAUUCUAUCUCCCAAAGAACCCUCAACAACACACCACACUAUAUUCCAAUCACCAUGGACCUGAGUCUUGCACACAGCUUCUUUCAAGAAUGGAGUCAGAAAAGCAGUUAUCAGCAACGACCUCACAGUCGUGAAUUGCCUUGACCUCCAGCGUGACCCGACCACAGAGAUGACUCGAAGGGGCCCUAAGAUCAAGACUUUCAGGGUUUCCCAGUGGGUUUUCGUAGGCGGACUUUUUCCCGAUAUCAGGCAGGCUCUGCCGGUACCAUUUUCCUCUGCAUAGGCAGGCUGACAUCUCUGACAGCCUAGCGUGGGCGCCUCCAUCGCGAAUGCGCAUGCGCUAGUCUUAGGGCACGGGGCCUGAGCUGUGAGCUGUGGUUAACAUCCCAAUAAAUGCCUCCGUUCCCUAGCCACAAGUCCCUGUGGCUCGACUUAGAAGGACACCUUGGUGGAGGUGCGUCGGCAGUGGUCUCUUGCCUGCCUUAUCUGUGGGAUCCAUGGGAUAGUCCCAUGUUCCUAAGAGAGGUCAGACGUGAGCAGCCUGAAGAAACCUCAAGCAGAGCCCAAGGAAUAAAUCACGAAAUCCCUAAGGAUCUAAAAGGAUCUGCAUGAUGCCUCAGACCUGCCUAGAUGUUGUAGGGGUGAAGUUGUGGGAUCUCAUCCAAUUCCCACCAGAUUGUAUCCUCACCCCUGUCUGACCUUAUUGCUGCUCACACUCUAUGUCCCAAAAUGAAAACCCAAGUUGAUGGAGUAUUGCCCCCUCAUGAUGUGAAGAAACUGCUUGGCUGGGACCUGAAUUUGAGGUGAAGUUGCUGGACCCCAUUUUCCAUUCAGCAGAUUGUAUCCUCACCACAGCUGACCUUAUUGCUGCUCAGACUCUAUGUUCCAGGAUAAAAUCACAAGAAGAUGUAGUAGUGCCCCCUCAUGAUGUGAAGCAUGUUCACAGCUGGGAACCAAAUUCGAGGUUAAUCUAAGUGGCCUUGCAGACAGAUCUGCUAGUGUCUCUCCCUGCGUUGUCCUCAAGAUGAUGGAAACACUGAGAGAUACCUGGUUUUUGGUGUGGUGUGCUACUCUUCUGGAAGAGUGGUUUUUAGUGCAGGGGGAGGUGAUUUGGACGCUGGCGGGUCUUGGCCCACCUCCAAAUUCACUGCGGAUUCAUGAUCCACAGAAAAAUAACACGGAGCCAUGCAGCCCAAGCAUAGCCACACAGACAGGCCACCAAAAUGUAGUGAGGCUAAAAACAAGAAGCACUGAAGUGUGUUAGCCCCAUUCCUUUAAGCAGACUCCACUUACAGGCACACACACACACACACAAUGCCACACACACUCGAUGUCAAACACUCACAACAUGCCCACAGAAACACACAGCAUGGCAGAUCCUGAGGUUGCAUAGUUCUGCAGGAGGCCCCACCUGGGAGACAGCAACCCCAGGGAACACAGGCAGGCUGUACCUAGAAAUCACAUUGGGGCAAGUUUCAAAGCCCAUACAACUUAUAGGCUGGCCUGAGGAAUUCUGCAGAUCCUUUGGGAUCCUUAGGGAUUUUGCAGUUUAUUUCUGGGGCUGUGGUUGAUGUUUCUUCAGGCUGACUCCCACAAGCUCUCUGACCUUGGUUGAUGUUUCUUCAGGCUGGCUCACAUCUGCCCUCUCAUAGUAUCAUGGGACUAUCCUGUGGAAUCCACAGAAAAGACAGGGGAGAGUCCACUGUCAAUGCACCUCCAAGCAGAUCUCCUUUUCUGCCAAGCCACAGGGACUUUUUGCUAGGCAACAGUGACAUUCAUUGUGAGGCUAGCCAGAAUUCACCAUCAGGCCUGGUGCCCUGAGAAUAGUACAUGCACAUUCUUCAGGCAGGUUCAAGAACCCAGCUGUCAGAGCUGCCAGCCUGCCUAGGCAGAAGAAAAUGCACAGGCAAAGCUGGCCUCACAUCGGGAAAAUGGCUACCUGUGAAAACCCACUGUGACACCCUAAACGUCUUGACCUUAGGGUCCCAUGGGCAGUCUCCACGGUCUCCUCCCGCUGGAGGAGUAGGCAUUUCAAGACUGUUAGGUGGUCGCUGGAAACUGCUCUUCUGACUCCAUUCCUGAAAGAGAAUGUGUGUGUACAAUACCCCAAUCCCAUGGGGAUUGGGAUAUAGUCUGUUGUGUUGUUCAGUGUUCUUUGGGUGAUAGAAGACCCCAGAGGCAGGUGUCAGCAAAAGCUGGCCAGACCCUUAAUCUCACUGCCUCCCUUCAUCCUGGGCCUCACAGGUGCUCUCCCAGAUAAUCAAGAACCAAAAGAAAGGCAAGUCGAUGUUGGAGACAUGUUCUCACACUUUGAACUGGCCUGUCAUGGGUGCAGAUGAGGUUAAGACAGUGUCUCAGAGGCGGUCUGUGGAGAUUGCUACCCUUAGGGUAUCCAGUAGUGUUGAUGUAAGAGCACUGUGGAUUCCUAAUGACAGGAGAAAAAAAUCACUUGAGAGAAUUGUUGGGAAACCAGCCCCACAAUGCCCCGUGGGUACCCUAAAUCCAACAGAGACAAAUAAUUAGAAAGAGACAGAAUGAGAGUUUAAAAGGCAGGUCCAGGGGACCAGAGAAUUGGAGGCUUGCUCAUGGCCUGGAGCUCUCAGCCACCACCCAAUUUAUUGCUUUACAAGCUCUUUGUUCUUAGGGCAGAUCUGAGGGGUAGGAAGGGCUGAGGGAAAGGAUUAAUCAGUGAGGGAGAACCCGUGAGUCAUUCAAUAAGAUGUAUAGCAGUAGCAGUUUCUGUGAAUUUCCUCUAGCAAAGGCGUGUGUCUAAACUACUUAAUAUAUUUAACUUAUCAGGACUGAAAUGGAUGGGAGAAGGCUUCAGGAGAAGCCAAGAUGUUUGAUUAUACUCCACUGCUUCAAGAGAGUGUUAUUUCCCUGAGCAACCUGUGGCAGCCCGCUGAGCUGUUAUGCUCUCUGGGCAUAAGGACAUGAAGGCAAUAAGGAGACUUUUCUCCUCAGAGGCCACCCAUGGGAGUGACUCCCCAUGGGAGUCUCACACCGGAGAGAUCAACUCAUUUGGCAUCCCAGAAACUCUCUUUCCCACAUGUCCCACUUUUUUGUCUCCAUUUUUUUAAAUUAAUAACCACCAUUGCUAUCAUAGCUCAUUCACGGUGUCUAUCUACUCUCCCAAGAUGCUGUCUGCAUCAGUAGGUUAAAAAAAAAACAGCAUAAAAAGACACACACCAAAGUAAUAUUUGCAAUUGAUGAUCCACCUAUGGUUUUAAUUCACUUUAAAGGAUUAGUGUUAAAAAGGCCCUCAGUGGUUCCAGCAAGAAUAUCAGCUCUAGGCAACAGGAUGGGAUGAGCCUGAGAUGCGGCAAAAAGUUGUUUUUUCAGUUUAGCAGGAUCUAAUGUUAAAUUAUCUUCUUCUCCUGGUAGGUGAUGUCUAAUCAUCUCCCAGUGGUGUUCAGUGAUAUUAUAAGAGCUAGGAGGAAUACGAAAUCAGAAGUAUUCCAAUCACAUUGCAUUUGAAUUCUAUGCUCCAAGUUCAUAAUCCGAUCUCCCAUUCAGAUUACUGUCUGAUGAUCAUUAAUUUGAUUUGCCAAUUUUUGAUCUAUUUGGCUUUGGGAAUUCCAAAGCUUGGAAGAAUUUUUCUGACAACUAUGCACAGCGCUCGCAGGUUGAAUAGAAGAGUGCAAAGCAAAGCCAGCAGCAGCAGCUAUAGCUGUGACAGAUUUAAGACCCAUGAUG